Molecule: small nuclear RNA, 22 nt
Filed under: Arabidopsis thaliana (thale cress)
Lineage: Eukaryota; Viridiplantae; Streptophyta; Magnoliopsida; Brassicales; Brassicaceae
Description: snRNA_07397
Source: RNAcentral
CAGGGAAAUAUAUAUAGUAAGA